RNAcentral lists this long non-coding RNA (828 nucleotides) under Homo sapiens (human). RNAcentral's name for it is "HSALNT0166325". The record is from RNAcentral. Lineage: Eukaryota; Metazoa; Chordata; Mammalia; Primates; Hominidae.
UGCACGUCACAGCUGAGGAUGCAGCUGCCAAGCUCUCCCUGCUCUGACCCUUCAAAGGAGGGCAUUGGGAAAUUCAAACCAAACACAAAUCGUGGCCACCCAGGGAGACUGCCUGGGUUAUUGCUCUGUUAUCUAGAACCACAAGGGACCAAGAUUGGGGUACCAAACCCCACACUGGUGAUUCUGAGCAGGGAGCUUGGCAGGCUGCCAGCUGAGGUGGAUGAGGAGCAAGCAGGUUGCAAAGGAAGUCCCCCCAGGAUGGGCAAAUCUGGGCCCACCCAUCUUCUGCCUGCCACCCCUCAGUGGAAGCCUGGCAGAGAGUGGAUGGCUGUCAGAAGAUGCUGAUGGCCCUGUGGCAAGCCCCAGCAUGUUCCCGUUAAAGAUCAAAGGAACCAUCACAGAACUGGAGAGAGAAGACCAUCUUUUGCUCAGGCCCUAGCUCAUCCUGUGACCUUGGACAAGUAACCUCACAGAGCCUCCAUGAUUCAUCCAUUAAGUAGGCCUUACGAGUUUCACCCUCAUCAAAUGGACUCCCUAAAUCUUGCCUUGUUCUCAAAAAGGCUGAAUGCAGAGGUAGCCAUGCCAAGACCACACUGACUGAGUUCCAGCAACCUCACUGCUAACUCUGCUUUACUGGUUGGGAACAAAUCAGUUGUCAAAAUUGCUUGAUAGGAAAUGAAGUGACAUUGGCCUAGUUCCUUUUGGCUACUCUGGCUUUCUCCAACCGAGAGGGACAGCAGUCGGCCUCCCUGUCAGAAACUCUGGCCUGAGAUAAAGAAAAAAACCACCAACACAGCAAGAUGCAAAAGAAGCCAGAGGCCCACCUGC